RNAcentral lists this long non-coding RNA (926 nucleotides) under Gallus gallus (chicken). Its description in RNAcentral is "lncRNA (ENSGALG00010026783.1)". Lineage: Eukaryota; Metazoa; Chordata; Aves; Galliformes; Phasianidae. The record is from RNAcentral.
CUGGCAGCCAAUUGCACGUUAGGUGCUGAGACCAUCAGGUAUUUUUUCAUGUGGGCAUCUGAACGGUGGUGGGACUGCAGUCUCUUUUGGUCACAAUAACCCUGAAGAUGUUUGUGACAGCUUUUUACACCUCUAUGCAAUACAGAAGGAGUUUGUGAUAAUUUCAUGCCACAGGAACCACUCUUUAGAUGCUGAGAGCAGCAUCUUCCCAAACAGCUGACUGAUCUGCAGGGGAAAGACAAGCCAGUGUGCCAGGGAUGGAGCAAGUACUGCUCUGCAUCAGCUGCUCCUGGAGAAGAGGGGAAGAACAGCAGCAGUGGUGUUGUGGAUGGUGUGGAAACCAACUUCAGCUCAGGACUUGCAAUGGCUGCUUUCCUGAAGGCUGUAACAUUUUAUGUUCCAUCACUUAUAAUGAGAACGUUCCCUCUGUGUGCUGCGUUUGCUCAAAAGGCUCACGGGUCUCCAGCUACCACCACUUUGAAGCUGUUUAAUGAUAGAUGUCCAGGCAGAUAGGCACGAACACCCAGCAGAAUGGUGGUUCCCCAUCAUUAUGCAGCACACACAGCCCAUGUGCAUACAGCCCAUGCAUCUGCAGAGCAUGCUGAAACACAGGUAAAAUCCGUCAGGAGGUGCAUAUUUUGACAGAGAAAUUCCUUACCUGUAUGAUGUGCCAUACUUAGGAAAAGGUUAAAAAUAGGAAAGGAAAGAAGAAAAAAAAAAAACAAGCCAAAAAACCCUGAACAGGCAAAUGCCCAAUGCGUAUUCCAGCUCAAUAGUCCUUUGGUAUUUUUAGCCUGGUUUCCUAAAAGUUCUCUGUCAUUUUUUCCCUCCUUCCUCCAACCUCAGUCAAAUUUGACGGUGGGGAAGAAAUCCCAAACAUUUUAGGUCUGGAAGGAAUAGCUGAGCAGAGUAUGCAGCAGAGGCAG